AGAGUUUGAGUCCUGGCGUCAGGACGAACGCUGGCGGCGUAGCUUAACACGAUGCAAGUCGAACGGGGAUGAUCUUCGAAGUCCUUCGGGAUGGAAGGGAUCAUUCGAGUGGCGGACGGGUGAGUAACGCGUGAACAAUCUGUCCCAGACAGGGGGAUAACACUUGGAAACAGGUGCUAAUACCGCAUAAGACCACGAUGUCGCAUGGCAUAGGGGUAAAAGGAGAGAUCCGGUUUGGGGUGAGUUCGCGUCCGAUUAGCCAGUUGGCGGGGUAACGGCCCACCAAAGCGACGAUCGGUAGCCGAUCUGAGAGGAUGACCGGCCACAUUGGAACUGAGAGACGGUCCAAACUCCUACGGGAGGCAGCAGUGGGGAAUAUUGGGCAAUGGGCGAAAGCCUGACCCAGCAACGCCGCGUGAGUGAAGAAGUAUUUCGGUAUGUAAAGCUCUAUCAGCAGGAAAGAAAAUGACGGUACCUGACUAAGAAGCCCCGGCUAACUACGUGCC
Molecule: ribosomal RNA, 506 nt
Filed under: uncultured bacterium
Lineage: Bacteria
Description: bacterial SSU rRNA
Rfam family: Bacterial small subunit ribosomal RNA
Source: RNAcentral